AUUGAACGCUGGCGGCAUGCCUUACACAUGCAAGUCGAACGGCAGCACGGGAGCAAUCUUGGUGGCGAGUGGCGAACGGGUGAGUAAUAUAUCGGAACGUACCUAUGAGUGGGGGACAACGCAGCGAAAGUUGCGCUAAUACCGCAUACGGUCUACGGAAGAAAGUGGGGGACCUGGCGACAGGCCUCACGCUCAUGGAGCGGCCGAUAUCUGAUUAGCUAGUUGGAGAGGUAAAAGCUCCCCAAGGCGAUGAUCAGUAGCUGGUCUGAGAGGACGGCCAGCCACACUGGAACUGAGACACGGUCCAGACUCCUACGGGAGGCAGCAGUGGGGAAUUUUGGACAAUGGGGGCAACCCUGAUCCAGCAAUGCCGCGUGAGUGAAGAAGGCCCUCGGGUUGUAAAGCUCUUUUGUCAGGGAAGAAACGGUUUUUUCUAAUAAAAGGAACUAAUGACGGUACCUGAAGAAUAAGCACCGGCUAACUACGUGCCAGCA
RNAcentral lists this ribosomal RNA (494 nucleotides) under uncultured bacterium. RNAcentral's name for it is "bacterial SSU rRNA". It matches the Rfam family "Bacterial small subunit ribosomal RNA", at positions 30 to 513 of the family's 1533-position model. The record is from RNAcentral.